CCCCGCCACUCUGCUUGGCUCUGGUCUCCGGGGUCUGCGCCUAGGCCCCGGCACUGGGGUUUGCGCCCCGCUGAGAGGAGGCUGCAGAGCCGAGCCCUGGUCGCCCGCCUGCCCCACGGUCGUGUCUCUGGGGAAGUCGUCCCAGCCCGCUGCCAGCGCUGCGCCUCUUUCCGAGAGCAGCGGGGAAACCGCUCUCUGCGGGGUUCCUAUAGGGUGCCCCGGAUCUUUAAGGAUCACUCCCCAGGGCUCAGUUCCUCCGGUAGAGACUGCUGGGGCGACCUGGAGAAGAAAUCACUGUGAUUGUGGCUCGGUGGCCCCGUGACAUUCAUUCCUGUCAUCAUCUGUUGAGUGACCAAUCAGAUGGGUGGAGUGUGUUAUAGAAAUUGGCAGCAAGUGUCCAAUGGGUGAAGAAGGUAAGAUGGGCUAACGUUACUGAAUGAUUCACACAUCACUAUUUACAUGGAGAAAGAAAUUAUAUCUCCAGGGGGCAUUCCUCAAACUGGCUUGCUUUGACACAACUACCAAGUCCAAAGUAGAACCUGAGAAGGAAGAAAAGGCCUACCUUCUUGGGCUUAAAGUAAUGUGAUUAUUCAAUGCCAUCAUCAUUGGGUUCUCUUUAUUGAAUACCUAUUUUGUGCCAGGACAGGUAAGAUAAUCUGUUGGAGUGUAUAAGCUGUGGAAGAGAGAGAAGAAACUAAAGGCAUUGUGCAUCUUAAGACUGAGACGAUUUAUGCAUCAUUUCUUCCCCUUUUCUUUCUUUUGAAAAAUGAUUCUUAAAAUAAGAACAAGGUGACUUAUAACCCGCAAGGCAAAGAGAUAGCUAGGAGGCUGAAAUGUUCAGAAGUCAAAAGGGAG
This 855-nucleotide long non-coding RNA is filed under the name Fukomys damarensis (Damara mole-rat). RNAcentral's name for it is "lncRNA (ENSFDAG00000027488.1)". Lineage: Eukaryota; Metazoa; Chordata; Mammalia; Rodentia; Bathyergidae. The record is from RNAcentral.